UAGAUUCAGAUUUAAAAAAAGAGAUUGCAAAACAGGUAUACGAUUUGAUCACAAUCUAAAUUUCAGCAUAUGUCAAUUUCAGCACAUGAACUAGUUUUUUAUGAUUUUAUAUUUUUAUGCAUGCAUGAUUCAGAUUAAAAAUAUUUUAAUCUUAUAUUUUACUAUAGUAUUUAGAAAAUAAAAUUUUGAAACACACAUGCAUGCCCCAAACCUCAAAUUCCAACAGUGGCAUC
RNAcentral lists this long non-coding RNA (233 nucleotides) under Elaeis guineensis (African oil palm). RNAcentral's name for it is "long non-coding RNA (EGUI_LNC017774)". Lineage: Eukaryota; Viridiplantae; Streptophyta; Magnoliopsida; Arecales; Arecaceae. The record is from RNAcentral.